CGAAGCACAAGCGGUGCUCACGUAAUGAUAAUUAGUAUAUAGUGGCUGGUAUGCCGAAGUGCAAGCGGUGCUCACACUGGGUUGUGAAUGGUAUGCCGAAGCACAAGCGGUACCCACUAUACUAUUUAUCUGAUAAAGAAUUCUGAGGAACAAUGAACAUACAGUGUAGCCGACCAAAAAUUCACCUAGCAACGUUGCAGCGUAGCAGACCAGCGUCAGACCAGCAUUAAGUACAUCAAUAAGAACAGCCGGAAUAUGGUUUACUAAUUACUUAUAGUCUCUUUGAGUUUUGUUUUAAUUAUGAUUGCUAAGUGCAUUUAAUAUCACCGCAUAGAUAUAAUAACUUUAUUAAUUUUGCUAAUUCAUUCAGUUUGUUAACAUAAAUUUAGAACUUGUUAGUUAGCGUUCGAAUGGCCGACAGGGAAUGGGGACAUUCCCAAUAACAGGACGGCCGACUGUUAGCGUUUAAAUUUACCAAUGCUAUUCUUUACUAAUAUCAAGCUACUUAUUUCAUCAUAGGUCCGGCCGGAUUACUAGAUGUAGCUAGGAGUUGUUCUUUAGUUCAUUUAGUUUCUAUAUUGUCUGUGAUUCGCAUUGACUGGCCGGUCACUGGAUUCAUGCGGAUUCAUUCAAUUCAAGAUGGCAGAAAAAACAAGAAUAACUUUUAAAAGACUUCUGUUUGUUAUUAGAUUCCUUUUUGAAUAGUUUGUGUUCCUUAUAAAAGUAUUUUACUUCAAA
This is a long non-coding RNA of Plutella xylostella (diamondback moth), 738 nucleotides long. RefSeq lists it as uncharacterized. The record is from RefSeq and is a predicted model, not a curated record. NCBI's taxonomy places the organism in Eukaryota, Metazoa, Arthropoda, Insecta, Lepidoptera, Plutellidae.